Molecule: long non-coding RNA, 33026 nt
Filed under: Eucalyptus grandis
Lineage: Eukaryota; Viridiplantae; Streptophyta; Magnoliopsida; Myrtales; Myrtaceae
Description: long non-coding RNA (EGRA_LNC002146)
Source: RNAcentral
AUUGUGGCGUGCAGGCUCUGUGCUGCAGAGGCUGCGGUCACCCUGUUAGUAAAGAAGACCAGAGCCGCUGCUUGCUGCUUAUCUCUCAAGGUGGCUUUCUGCUCAGCUUCAAGCUUUGGAGUCAGUUCACUGAUCUUCCCACUGUAGUAUUCUAUACUGUCCACCUUUUCCGCAAGACCUAGGAAGCCGGUUUUGUUUGUGGGUCUUACUCCAUCCGGUUUGCCGGUUGUCUUUGAUUCUGCAUAAAUUGUUUCAGCACGUGCAAGCUUUUUCUUGUACCCUUCCAACUCUUUGUAGAUUUUGUUAACCUACAUGAUAACAUAUAUAACAAGGAAAGGUCUCUCAAUGGAUGAAAUCAAAAGAUGAAAGAACAAGUUGUUCUGCUAUGCCUACAUUCUCUGUCACGAUAUAUGACCAAAACUUUCACGAGAGGAACUUUUAAGUAUACAACAGAUCUUUAUCCCUCCAAGUAUCUCCGGGCAUGGAUGAGAUAAUGCCUCUAUGAACAAUACGGGGUUUGCGGCAGCGGCAUGGUAAAGAAGUCCAUAAACCAUGAUUUUUUUUAUUUUUUUUUUAAAGGUUGAACUGGGAAGUAAACUACGGUAUAUUGAAUACUGCAUUCCCAACCGCUCUCUUGGUACUGGAAAACACCUAUUUUGUCCUUUAAUAAAUCAGAGAGCACCCAUAGAGUGGGGUAAGGUUCAACCAUGAUUGUUUUCAAUGCACAUACAAUGAAGUCAUGACCUCAACUAUUUGUGUUAAGUAGGACUAUCUGUCUACGGUGGUCUUAUUUUGGUUCAUUAAUAGUAGCGCGGCUACUUCUGCCAUAUGACAAACCACAUAAAUGCACUUUUUGUUUUGUGACUUCAUAUCACACUACCACUAAAAACUGCCCAACAAACUGGUAUCUCCCUUUUAUUUGGUUCUUUCCUUGAGAACAUUUACAUAACAAAAGGGUUCAAUGCUCAUUCAGCCCCACAAUAGUACAUAAUUACUCAUCAAGCCCCACAGUAAUUUAUAAUCCUCCUAGAAUAGAAUCAAUUAUUAAAAGGGUCCAGAGCCAACCAGUACCAUAAUAAAUAGCACCAGCUGCACAGCCACUGUGGUGGAGAAAUCAUUAAGACUAGCCAUCAGGAAUCACAGAGUUCUUUUUUACGAUAUUCUUUCACCUCUGUGUAUUCUAGCCAGCAGCCAGAUACUUAAAAUAGUUGCAAUAUAUACUCACGUGCAUUUAGAUAUAGUUAUACAAAGGACAAAGUCUGCAGAACUAUAAAGCAAGAUUAGCAUAGCAACAAAUGAGGAACAAAUGGAGUAUUAUAGAAAGAAACAUUAUAAAAAGCAUACCUCUUUAUUAUUAGUCACUAUCAUCGACCCGUAAAAUGUAUCGGGAUAAAUAGAUUUGAAAUAUGAAUCAACUUGAUCCUUCAUAGUUUGACCUUCUGGGGCAGGAGGUAUGUCUCUCACAAGGACAGCAAAUUGCUCUGCUCUCACUUCGGGAGAUAUUAAAGCAGCUACUCUCAAAGCUGAAAUGUGUUUGUAUGCCUUCCACAACAGGCAGUAUGCAACGAUUGAGACCCAAUAAGUAGCUAUCAGGAAUGCCCACAACCUUGAACUUUUCUCCUGUACAUACAAAAGGAUGUGACUUAGAAAAUUAGCACUGAUUUUCUCUACCAACAACAUUGUCCACCAAUUCCUUCCCCACCAAGUAUGAUAUGAUGAAUACCUCCAUAGUUUCCAAAAUCCACUUCAAUCAAUGUCCUAAAAUUAUGGUAGAAAUAGGGAAUAAAACAUUUCUCUCUACCCUUGAUAAGACAAGAAAAAAGAAAGUCCUUGUACAAGAGUUCUAAAACUUACUGCCACAUUUCUCAUUGACAACUUCUCAAGAUCACUGAAUAUCCCAUUGCUGGUUAUGUCUGAUGAUGUGUUUGGAGUUUUUUCAGUGGCAGCAACAGGUAGAAGAACCGGCAGUAGCACAAUGCCGGAUAAUACUAAAAUUCCCAACACUGUCACGGAGUAAAAAGGGGAGGAGUCUUCAGAAUUCUCACUUCUACAGACGGCGGAGUGUUUCAAAUAUACAAGCACAAGAGUUCAUCGAAAACAAUACAAGAAAAACUAAAGUGAAAGCUUCCACAAUUAUGGAAUCUAAAACAUGCAAAACAUAGUUCUAACCAUCCAGGGGAGCUUGAUACCAAUAUGUAUGUCGUAAAUCGAGUGAUUGUAAAGAAUACGCAAACGGGAAGCAAAGGAUGAUAGAAAAAUGGCAACUUUAGGCUUCCUUAUAAAUCCCACCUCAUUUGUAUCGAGAAUUUCAAUCGCCUUUAAUUAUUGAUAGCUGACGACAGAUAUUAUUAGAUUGCCUGCUAGUAUGUGGAACUGUUAUGUAACUAAGAAUGCCAAAAGUAAUUUAAAUACACGACCAACCAUUACUUUCCAAUAAAUAGGAUUACACAGGUAAAAUUCUCAGGAAAAUAGAAAAUCUACUUAUCUUUUCUCCUUAAAAUUAAGAAAUCCAUCCCCCCCCCCCCCCCCCAAUCAAAAUCUGAUUAUAGCUAAUAUUUCUAAAGGUGUCAAAAUGGGUUUUAGACCCAUAUAUGAACCACUUAAACAUAAAUGGGUCAUAUAUGGACUCAUUCACUUUUUGAAGAGACUAGUUAAAUGAGUUUAAAAAUUGAGAGAUUAAGAUAAAUGAAUCUUAAAUGGAUUGGACUUAGAACUCCUUUCCAAUCCAAACCUCACACUCUCUAUUUCCCUCUUUAACUUUAUAAAAAUUGAAAUUAUAAUUAUUUAUUAUUUCUUUUUUCUUUUCUUUUUUAUUCUUUGCUUCUUCUUUUUUUUCUUUCUUCUUCCUCCUUCCUUAGCCAGUGGCUGGCACGGCAACGGUCAGCGAUCGACCAAGUGAGCCUUGAGCUCACCGAAUUUGACAAGGCGGAGGCCUCAUCGACGUCUGGUGAGACUUGAGCUUGCCAUUGUCAAGCGAGCCCAAGCUCAUUAGAUCUAGUGAGGCGGAGGGCUCACCAAUGUCUAGUGAGCCUCAAGCAUCGGUGAGCUCGAGAUUGCCUAUGGCUGGUUGCUAGCUGAUAACGGUAGAAGAAGAAAAAAAAGAAAAGAGAAAAAAAUUUUAAAAAUAUAUUUUUAAGUAAUAAAAAAUAAAAAAUAAAAAAUUUUGUGACUCGGGAACCGCUGUACAGCCGGCAGUCGGCAGCAUAAACCCAAGGCAAACCGCACCCACCCACCUGACCCGGCCGCGGUUGAGUCGCACAAGCGGCCGCAAGAAUUUGAACUCGCUCCCUUUGCAGGAAGGAGCAAAGCACAAACCGCGCGACCACCAAUAGAGUGAGUAUAAUUAAAAUUUUGAUUUCUAAAAAAAUUAUAAAAAUUGUCCAUUAAAUUUGUAUUGCAUGAAAGUAUUUUAGUAAUACCAUUUUUUAGAAAAAAAUAUCUUAAGAAAUAAGGUUUCUUAGAUUUAGUUAAAUGGGUCAUGUAUGGGUUAAAAAUUUUGUACUAUAAUAAAUGGGUCAUAAAUGGGUUAAAUGGGUUGAUUUGAGUCAUACCAUUUAUGACUCAACUCAAACUUGGCUCGAUCUACCUAUUUGACAGGUCUACUAAUUUCCCGCAACAAUAGAAUGCAAGUAUGGUGAGUGCCUCGCCAUAAACUCUUCCGGUCAGGUACAACAGUUAGUGCAAGCGGUACGUAUCACCAGCCCCACGGUAUGCGUUCAAAUAAACGGUUGGGUUCACCAACCACGACACGAAAAGUAGCGAUGACAAUCAGUUAGACAAUGCAGCAGCACAAAUUGCAGGUGCUGAAGGCUUUAUGCAGGAGUGAAAGGAUAAAUAUUUGGCACUAGAAACUCGAAAUCCACUCACAAUCACGAAAAAAGGCCUAUUUUCGGAUUGCGGUCAAGGUGAGUCUAACUUCUUACUGCACAACUUGUGCACUUAAUCAAGUGAUGAAGGAUUGGAUUCCGGUAAAGGCAUGCAAGUGAAAUGCCGCUAGAAUUGUUAAUGUAGCCCUUGAAAUGGACUGCCCUAAAGGCAUAAAUUAACAACGAAUCUACCUCUAAAAUCCAUGAAACAGACUGAAAAUCAUACCAUAAACGAGCCAAACCAAACCAACACCCAUAAAAGAAAGAUCAACGAACCAAAAAGUGAAGCGAUCUAUUCACCUGAGAACCACCAGAAAACACAAAAAGAAGCGAUCAUAUUCAGAAAGAACGGACCACCAGUCCCACUCGAAUUGCAAAAAGACACAUCCAAGCGCCGAGUUCAAACCAACCCAUAAACAACGACGGACCCAGCCGCCUCCGGCAGCUGGUACUCCCCCAGAAGAAUCACCAACGUCUCAUUACAAGCACCCAAACAAAGCAAGAAAAGAUCAGACAACUGAAAGAGAGAGAGAGAGAGAGGCACGGCACACACCGGUACUGAGGAAGACGAAGUAGACGGCGGUGUCGACGCCGGACACGGCGAUGACGUCCUGCUCGGAGGAGGAGAGGGCCUCGCGGAUCCAGGCGAAGGGGUUGCGGGAGGAGUGGUUGCCGCCGUCGAAGGGGUCCACGCCCCUGAGGAGGCGGUUGGGGUAGUACACCACCUUGUUCCCGGGCCGGACGGACAGCCACGCGAAGAGGACCAUGAGGACGACGAAGAUCACGAAUGCCGUGAUCAGCGACGUCAGGUAUGAGCUGAAAUCCAUCCAGGUCUUUCUGCUAUUGCCUCCUAGUCCUCGUCACUAAGCUCUGUCAACGGUGUCAGGGAGAGCGAGGGGGGGCGGCCAUGGUAGUGGUGGAGUUACUAUAACUCAAAGAUGUGGACGGGAGAAAGAGAGGGGGCAAAGACGGACAAAGCCGUCGGGUUUAAUAAUAGAAAAAUUCGAUUGUGGCCUCGUGAAACACCUUGCUUUUGCUUGCUCUCUCUGUGUGGGAGUUAUCUUUCUCCAUUUUCUCCGGAUUUGUCGUGGAUUGAGUCACGUCAUUCUUUUAGUGCAGACCUCGUGAAACACCUUGCUUUUGCUUGCUUCCUCUGUGUGGGAGUUAUCUUUCUCCAUUUUCUCUGGAUUUGUCGUGGAUUGAGUCACGUCAUUCUUUUAGUACAGAGAGAGAGAGAGAGAGAGAUGAGGAACCCUAGUUUCCACAAGUAUUCGCUCCUUUCCAACUGGAUGCAACACUUAAUUAUCUCCUCCUCGAUGAGUCCAAACGUUAACAGUCGCGAGAAGAUGUGUAAUUAUCAAUCCAAUGUACUACGGAAAGGAGCUCUCUAGCUCCAUAUCAUGGAUCUUCUGUUGUUCUUCAACUACCGAUCCUCUCGUGAAAGGAAUCUUUAGCUGUUCCCCGUGAAAGAAGUUAGCCAAGCGAUACUCUCUUCAGAGAAACAAAACCACAAAACACUUUUUGCACUCGUCCUAGCCAUUGUAUCGGCAAGAACCUUCGGCACUUCCAUCCGCUUUUCAUGCAAAAAACCAUCGUUAAAUUUCGCAAUGUCACCUGAAAAGCGCACCCAUGCAAGUGCACAAAGUUUUGCUUUUGGAGUGUCCCACAAGAAAUCAUAGAAUUAGUGAUAUUUCUUCGUGCCGUUUUUUCAUUCUCCUCACUGACCCUAAGAGAUCGGAGAUUAUAACCAUCGCCACUAACAGGUACAAAGUUUUGUGGCCAACUUUUUAGCAAUUUUAAGGGACGAUAUGUUCUUUCUUCACUUAUCAUGCUACUAAUAAUAUGGAAGGGUGCCCAGAACAAAACAAAACAAAAAUCGAUGGCACUUUGUAAUCGCCACCAGUAUAUUGUCGCCAAAGCCAAGUGCGUCGGUGCCCUUAAACCUGGAGCGAACAUCUCCCAUGAGUUGUUCCAUCAGAUUGGUUGAACUCGGAAUAAUUAGUUUGAUAAAUUUAAUGAUAGUUGCGUAAUUUAUCUUUCUCACAGGUUUUGAAAAAAGGAACGCGAAUUGGAAACCUUUACCUCGCUAGCUGCUCUCUCUGUGAUGAUUGAUGGUGGGCAAGCCUUAGCGCUGUGGGUUUAUAUAUAGUGAACUUCGUUCCUAUCUAGGUGGUCGGAUCAAAUGAUGCCGUUUCGUCUUCCACCACCCCCAUCCUCCAUUUCUUCGUUGGGCGUGGGCCUGGCAUUUUCUCUGUUCAUCACUAACAUAGACUUGGACUUUCUGUUAUCCAUAUUUAAAUUGUUCGCAAAACCGCCGCCCCCGGCAUGCAUCCUCUAGCAGGCGCCAUGCCACCGCCACUUCAUCGCUUGCCAUCGCGAACUAUCAACAAAAGUUGGGGCAAUUCCCAUGGCAGACGACUGUAGUGAGGCAAGGAUUGGUAUACCCAGUCGCCUCCUCGGGCCGAGGUUUCAUCCCAACAUCCCCAAAUCAGUUGGACCACAUUGCGAUGUGUCAUUCCAUCCCCGCAUCCGUUAGGGUUUUUGGUCCCUUCUCAUCAGAAACAACGCUUUUCCCCUUCCCUUCCUCUUCCCAAAUUGCAAUGGCUAUAAAGAACUCAAGUUUUUAAAAAAAAAAAAAAAAAAUCUGCAUCCUCUUCCACUCUCUCUCUCUCUCUCUCUCUCUCUCUCUCUCUCUCUCUCUCUCUCUCUCUCUCUCUCUCUCUCUCUCUCUCUCUCUUCAUUCGCAGAUUUUGGCGACGGAUAAAAGCUGCCUAGAGUUUCUCAUCGCAGGGCUUUGUUGACGGAUUAGAAAGACGCUCAAAGUUUCUCAUCAUAGGAUUUUGGACCUACCUAGAGUUUUUCAUCUCAGAUGUCGAAGCUGUCCGAAGUUUGCCAUCCUAGGACUUGAUAUGCCUUUACUUGAAUUGUGUAAAGUUUUUCACUUAACAUUUGAAUUAUCUAAGGGUUUUCACUUAUUAGGAUUUAAAUCAUCUAAAGUUUUUCACUCAUAACAUGGAUUUCUUAAAAAAACCAAAUGAAAGACUUUUUGCCAAAAAAAAAGACUUUUCACUCGUUCUCAUUUUGAAGGAUAAUUUGUCAUGACCAUUGAUGUGGGAACAAGAGAAUCCCUCUAUCUUAUCGUUAUCAUCAUAUUUACAAGAGUCCAAGUUGUCUCACGAGCAAUAUAACCUUAUCAAUUUAAGAGGUCUUUUUAAUAGGACCAUAACGUAGGAGUUGUCAUCGGCUUUGCAAAAUGUGAUUAUUCAAUUCGUAGCUUUGAAAGGAAUAUUCUUCAUUAAUUUGGCAUCUCCAUCGGGAUUACUAGUCAAGAAUCAUGCAAAUGAGACUGAAGCAACCUUGGCCACACUUUUUUGGGAGAAGCUUUUAACAUUUGAAUCUCCUAUGUUAAUUCAAGUGCCCUAUUCAGUAUAAGGGAUGUAAUGUAAGCUUGGUUAAUGGGUUGAGAGACGAAAGGAUUCGUUAGGCUCAACAACUUUUCAUUGAAAGGGUUUGAAGUUGGCAAGCAUCUCGAUAUCAUUACCAAUCUUCUCCUUCGUUGGGAUUGUCUUCUUGUAUAGAUGCAUCUUCGACCACGAGGGUCCUACACUGUUUUUUGAAAUUUGUGAAAUCACCAACCCUUUCAUUGGGAUUGACUUUGCAAGUUUAACAUAGACACUCUUUCGUUCUCACCAACAAUUGGGCCUUGCAUCAACAUUUUUUUCGCUCUUCUUUUUUUUUCUCACUUUUUUGCUCUAGUUUUCGAACUUUUGUUUCGAAUUUUUUUUUAUCUCUUUCUAUCUUUUUGUCGAUUUUUUCACUUCUCUUUUUUCCUGACAUUUUUCUUGCAAUGCAUUCUGUAAAUGCUAGUACAAGCACCUAGAGGGGGUGAAUAGGUGCGAAAACAAAUUUUUGUAGAGUAUAGUGUAAAACUUUACUUUUAACUGAGUCUGUUUAGCAGAAGACUUUAAAAAGAAAAGAGACUCUAACAAUUAAAUAAAUUUACGAACAAAGUAAAUGAGUUUAGGAAAGAAAAUAAGAACACAAGGUUUAUAGUGGUUCGGCUUAAUCCAAGCCUACGUUCACUCUCCCACACUGACGGCCCACCGGCUGGAUUUCACUAUGAAUCAAAAGAGUCGUUACAGUUUCACGUCCUUGAUUCCACAGUGUAGAGAUUCUGCUACACUUCCUCAAGGUCUCACAAAUGUAUAAACUCUUUUUGAGUACAAGUUUACACUCAACAAUUGAAUUGGCAAAGAACAAGGAACUUCAGACUUUGGAAUUUAUCUAUCGCACACACACUCGAAUAACUAGAGCGUCUUCCUUAUAUACUCAUCCAUGCCUUCAUAACCAUUGACACUUUCCAAAUGAGUUCUUCCAAUUUAUCCGUUGGGCAUAAUUAAUUAGGGAGAUCUCAAGUUAUUUAAGGAAUAUGACGAUAGCCCACCAAUCCUGCUCGUCCAUACAAUCAGAAUCUAAGUUUCCAUAAGUAGAACCUUUUAAGUAUGCUUCACCAUUCAACGGAUCCAAUUUACCCAAAUUAAUUUCAAGAAUAAUAAAUUUCGAGAUGCUAUCUCCAAUCGAGAGAUCUUCUUUAGUUGAUCGAAUCAAAUCCUUAAAGAAAUACUUAAUUUUGGAUAAAACUUCUUCAACUGUAUAGAAACUGUCAAUGAAUGCAAACUUUGAGUCUUGAGUCUAGCGGUCUUCAAACUUUGACGCAAAAGUCUGCAAAUCUUCAGAUUAGACUGAUGGAAACGUUUUAUCAACUUCAAAAUAAAUAAUGAAGUUUUCUCCAACAAUCUCCCCCUUUUUUAUGGUGACAAAACUUUCCUGCAAAUUUGGAUUUUUUUUACCUCAAGCAAACAAGGAUAUCUCACAAAAGAUAAAUGAAUUAGUAAAGAUAGCAUUAAAUCUGCAUCCAGAGGAGAUAAGUUAGUCCUGUAAAAACAACUAUCUUUGCCAAGAAUACCAACAACGCUUAAGAUACUGCAAUCAUUAAACGAUCAAACAAACCAAAUUCAAACCAGUCACAACCAAACAACCAAACAAAAGUAAAGUCAAUCAAAAGUCAAAUCAAAUAAGAGUCAAAUCUCAAAUAUUCACCCCAUCUCCCCCUUUUUGUCAACAUUAGAAAGGUAGAGACGAAAAGAGAAUGGAAGAAAAUUAAGAUUGUUUUGGAACGCAAAUAAGUUGGAAAUCUCCCAUCGACUGGACAAUCUCUUCCAACUUUUUUAAAUCCUCCUUCAAUUGCACCACUUCUUCACCCGUGGCAGUUGCUUGAACUUGAAGAUUAAGGGCUUGGAUUUGAUCAUGCAAAGAAAUUGAAGAGGCUUGACUGGCAUUCUGCAUAUUCUAAACUUUGCAUCCCAUGGCAUAAAUCUGGCCUCGCACCUCCGUAAGAACAUCAAGCAAUCUUCGAAAGUUUGCUAAGUUGUCAAUCUGAGUGUUUGUUUCUGCAUGAUCAAUUUGAGGUGUAUUGGCAGAUAUGGAGAUGAAAUCUUAUGACCUUCCUUAGGAAAUUGAGAGGCAUAUACAUCUUCUGGAUCACAGGUGAACGGCUAACAUCUUCAAUAGUAAAAGCAAUUGAAGAGGUACCUCUUUUCUCAGCAGUUCCUCCUAUUUCAAUGCCUUCAAGCGGAGAGAAGUACUCUUCAUGCUUUGUCUCUUCUCGUUCUCCUCUGCCCUCUUCUUUUGCAGGUCUUUUCUACCUCUGCUUCUUUUCUCAUGGAUUCCCUCUCUUCACUCCUUUUCUCUGUCUCUUCUUUGUCUUGAUCCUCUCUCUCCUCUGUCUCUGGAACAAAACGUUGUAAGCUUCUUAAUGCAAAAGCGAAAAUGGUGACAUCUUCCUCAUCUUCUUUAUCCUGCAAGAUGAGUGAUCUUCUUUUCUUGGAUAGAGCUGUCAUGGGCUCCUUCCCUUUUUCGUUUUGCAACCAUAGAAACUUAAUGAGUCUUGACAGGGGUUUUCUCCUUGAAUCGCUCCAAAGCCUUGUUCAGCUCUUUUAGACGCAUUUUGGAAAUCAUUUUCAGUCCCAUCACCAUUUGAUCAUAGGUUCGUACACACAGAAUCUUGGAAAGUUGAAUAUUCAAAUGUCUGAAUAACUUAGUAAUAGUGCUGAGUAAGGAAGUUGGCCCUUGUCUUUCAUCAUCGAUCUAUACAUGUGAAACAUGAUAGUGUGUGGCAGAGAGAACUUUUUGCCAGCAUUGAUAGCAUACAUUAGCCUUGCUUCUGAGUUGGAGACGUCAGUCUUCGAAGUCGAUUUGGGUCUAAGGCAAUUGAUCACAAUCUUGUGAAGCAAACUAUUUGAGGCAUUCAUCCUCAAGUACAAAAUCCGUCCUUCCACCGUUCCAUCCCAAACAAGCUCUACCGUCGCACGACUAAUAGACACACUAAUUGAUUGGAAUACACCUCUCUCUACUCCAAUCACAUCAGCCAAUGUGUCCAUAUCAACUACAUAGUCCUAAUCUCAAACACUGAAAGAGAAUCUAUUCGCAUCCAAGAAACUUAGAUUAGAAUAGAAAUACACAGUAAGUUCUAGAUGAGCCAUUGUUGUCUCAGAACAAAAUCGUUCAAGUUGAAGUAAGGUGAAUUUCUCUCGCAACUUCACGUUCAGAGAAUCAAUAAAAUCAAAGUCUACACUUCUUGGGUUGAUCACCCCUUGCUUUAACAACUUAGAGUAAAGUCGCUUGUGUUCCUCAGAGCGAAAAAAAUCUGUCAUUUUGCUUUAAAUAUUCACCGCAACACCCAUUCUAGGCUUAAAAUGAGUGUACAUCUUGUCAUCAUCAUUUCCAUCAGGUUGACUAAGACCUCCAAAAUGUGGAUCGCUUGGAAUAUUCGCAAAGGCUCUUUCUGCCGACCCCGCAGAAGCAACUCUCAAUCGUUCCAUCAUUCGCAAAAAGUAGGUUUCAUUUCGAUACCCUUUCUCUUUCAAAAAUUCAUCAAUAAGUUCAGGGAAGUACCUCCCUCCUUCAAGGCAAAGUAGAGCUUAAAGGUAAAGGCAGGCUUUUGAGUUCUUACAAGUUUCGCAUCUUCAAUAAUUUCUUCCUCCGCUUGAUGAUGAAUAUCCUGAGGUCUAGCUUGAGGAGAAUGAUGCGGUUGAGAAUGUUGUGGACUUUGCAGCUGUCUUAGAGAUUUUUCUUCCUCAGUGAGAUCAAAAUGCGUAGGACCCCCACGUAUAUGUUGCGGUCCCCUGUUUGCAAGCCUUGAAGACUUUCUUUGGAAAGACAUUCUCACAAUCUUUGAGAGAUUCCAAACUUGUUUCACAAGAAAGAUGAAAACUUUGAGGAUUAAACUAGAGAGUAAAAGAGAGAAGGUGAAGUUCUGUGCUUUCUAGGGUUUUGUGAGUAAAGCAGAAGAAAACAAACAGUAUAUAAAGCAAUCAAAGUGAAGUAUACGGAACAUUGUAAAAGGAAAAAUAGAAUAUGCCUUUUUAAAAAAUAACUGCCCUUUUGAAAAUAGAUAACUGUAAAAAUAACUCCUUUUUUUCGAAAAUGAAUGAUUACAAAAUUUGGAAAGACAACAUCAAUUAAUUGCAAAUUUAUAGGCAUUUGUAUUUUUUCGAGUUUUUUUAUCUAAGAGAUAAAAAGGAAAUAACUUAUAGUCGAAAAUCUUGAUCUUCUGAGUCUGAGUAUCCUUAAACUUUUAUCCCUAAGUCAGAGCUUCUUCAGACUUUAAGAUAUUAAGUCUGGAACGAAUAGACUUAAAUUGACUUUUCUCCAGUGGCUUUGUAAAAAUGUCCGCUAGUUGAUUCUUUAAGUCAAUGAAUUGAAUCAAGACUUCUCCAUUUUGAACAUGAUCUUUAAUAAAAUGAUGUCGAAUCUCUAUAUAUUUUGAUCUUGAAUGAAGAACUGGAUUCUUGGUGAGAUUAAUCGCGCUGGUGUUGCAACAUUUGAUCUCAGUGCAUGAGUCUUCGAUUCCAAAGUCUCAUAGCUAUUGUUUUAUCCACAAGAUUUGAGAACAACAACUUCCAAGAACCACAUACUCUGCUUCUGCUGUUGAAAGAGCUACUAUAAUUUGCUUCCUUGAAAACCAAGAUACUGUCCUGUUAUCAAGUAAUUGAGAAGUGCCCGAGGUGCUCUUUCUAUCAAUUCUACAUCUAGCUAGAUCUGCGUCUGAGUAUCCAAGGAGAGUAAAGUCUCAUUCUUUAGGAUAUCAGAGACCCAAAUUAGAGGUUGUUGCAACAUAUUUGAUGAUGCAUUUCGCAGCAGUUAAAUGAGAUUCCUUGGGAUCUAAUUGAAAUCUGGCACAAAUACAAACACUAAGCAAAAUGUCAAGUCUAGAAGCAGUAAGAUAAAAAAGUAAACCAAUGAUACUCCUGUAUAGCUUCUGGUCAACUUUCUUUCCUCCUUCAUCUUUGUCCAGCUUUGAGGAACUUGACAUUGGUAUAUCAGUCUUUUUGUAAUUCUCCAAACCAAACUUUUUAACAAGUUUUUUAGCAUAUUUUUCUUGGUGAAUGAAAGUUCCUUCCUUCAAUUGUUUUACUUGAAGUCCGAGAAAAAAGGAUAGUUCACCCAUUAUGCUCAUUUCAAAUUCAUCCCGCAUACACUUAGAGAAUUUCUUGCACGAAUUUUCUUUAGGUGAUCCAAAAAUAAUAUCAUCAACAUAGAUUUGAACAAAUAAAAAGUUUUUGCUUUCUCUUUUGAUAAACAAGGUAGUGUCUACUUUACCUUUAACAAAGCCAUUUUGGAUUAAAAACUUACUUAACCUGUUGUACCAAGCUCAAGGAGCUUACUUUAAACCAUAUAAUGUCUUUUUCAGUCUGAAUACAAAGUCUGGUUUCCUUGAGUCUUCAAAACCGGAAAGUUAUUCCACAUAGACUUCUUCUUGAAUAAAAUCAUUCAAGAAUGCACUUUUGACAUCCAUUUGGAAUAACCUGAAAUUUUUAUAACAAGCAAAAGCAAGUAAUAAUCUAAUUGCUUCUAACCUUGCUACUGGUGCGUAAGUCUUAUCAUAGUCUAUCCCUUCUUCUUGCGUAUAUCCUUUUGGCCACGAGUCUUGCUUUGUUCCUUACGACUUUUCCUUUCUUGUUUAUCUUAUUCCUAAAAACCUAUUUAGCUCCAAAAACAUAUUUACCUUUUGGUUUAUGAGUCAAUUCCCAAACAUCGUUAAUACUGAAUUGCAUGAGUUCUUCUUGCAUAGCUUCAAUCCAACUUUCAUUAGUUAAAACUUCUUCUAUGCUUUUAGGUUCUAUUUCAGAAAUAAGAGCCACAACGCUAGACUCUUCUCGCCUUUUGGAUCUUGUACGAAUCCCUUCAUCAAUGUCACCAUAAUAAGUUCUAUGGGAUGACUAGACAUGUGCUUCCAGUUGCUGGUUGGUUUGACAGACUAUUGAUCUUUUUCUUCAUUUGAUUCUACAACGAUCGUUCGUUGUUUAUCUUCUGAAGUCUGAGCUGAUUCUAGGGAUUUAGACUCUAUAGAGUCUGGAACAGAUUCAAAUUCUUCAGAUUGAGUCUGAAUUGAUUGAUUUUGAAUAAAGUCUUGAAAUUUGACAUUCAUCGAUUCCUGUACAAAUUGAGUCUUUUUAUUGUAUACUCUAUAAGCUUUGUUGGUAGUUGAAUAUCCAAGGAAGAUGCAUUCGUCUAAUUUUUCUUCAAACUUACAAAUUCGAUCAUUUGUGUUUUUCAAUAUAAAACAUUUGCAUCCAAACACAUGAAAAUAGGAAACAAUUGGCUUAUUUCCUUUGAACAACUCAUAGGGAGUUUUCUCUAUAAUAGGCCUUAAGAAGACUCUAUUAAUAAUAUAACAUGCUGUAGAAACUGCUUCAGCCCAAAAACAAGAAGAAAUGUUACUUUCAAUUAAAAGUGUUCUAGCCAUUUCUUGCAAUGAUCUAUUUUUUUCUUUCCGCAACUCCAUUCUGUUUUGGAGUGUAAGGAGAGGAAAACACAUGCUGAAAACCAAAUUCAUCACAGAAUUUGGCAUAGUCUUGAUUUUUAAACUCACCUUCAUGGUCUGUUCGUAUGCUUGAAAUAACAUACCCUUUCUCAUUUUGAACUUUCUUAGCAAAUUUUAUAAAAUAAGAAAAUGUUUCAGACUUACUUGCUAAGAAAUAUACCCAAGUGAAUCGUGAAUAAUCAUCCACUAUUACUGGGCAAUAUUUCUUACCACCAAUGCUCUGAGUUCUGGUUGGUCCAAAGAGAUCCAUAUGCAAAAACUGCAGCACACGAUUAGUGGAAACUUGAUUUAUUGGUUUGAAACAAUUUCUAACCUGUUUUCCCAAUACACACGGUGUGCAUAAUUCAGAUUUUUGGUAUAUCAAAUUAGGUAGUCCACGAACAAGCUUCUUUGCAGAGAUCUUGGCUAUUUGUUUCAUGUUGAUGUGGCCAAGUUUUUUAUGCCAUAGAUUAGCUUCAUCUUGAAUUGAAAUUAGACAUUGAGAUUUUUCUAGUUUGAUAUCCAGAAGAUAGAUAUUCCCAUGUCUUCGCCCUGUGAAAGUCUGAGAGGAGUCUUUACUGGUUCCUGAACAUAUUCCUUCUUGAAAGUUCAUUUUGAAACCUGUAUCGCACAGUUGGCUGAUACUCGCCCUGUAAUUGAGUCCUUCCACUAAGGAAAUGUUACUGAUUAUGAGACUUCUAAUAUUUACAGUUCCGUAUUCGACAAUUUUGCAUUUGCUAUUUCCACCAAAAGAAACUUUUCCAUCAUUAACUUGCAUAAGCUUUAUGAAACAACUUAAGUCUCAUGUCAAACGUCUUGAGCAUCCACUAUCCAGGUACCAUUUGACAUUUUUCUUUAUAGUGGCUUGCAUUUAAAAAAGAAACUCAAGCUUUCUUUGGUACCCAUACUUUCUUGGGUCUAAUGGAGUUAGUGUAAUAUACGAUUUUUGCCCAAACCUUCUUAACAGGUUUCCAAACCAUAUGACAUUCUUUCUCAAAAUGUUCUGAGCUGUUAUACUUAGAAAAUUUAAGAGCACUACAGCCUACAGGUUUUACAAAGACUUUUUGCAAAUGAUUUCUAUAAAAGUCUUUUGUAGGUCUUUGUUUAAUUCUUUCCUUUACUUUUGGAAAGUCAAUUGGAGAGAUGGUUUCAGCAGUCAUUCCCAAGCCUAAUUUGUUAAAGUAAGGUCUUUGCACUAAAAAAAAAAAUUUCUAAUUUCUCAGAUCCUAUAGAAAAUCUUUUUGAAAUACUUGAAAUGUCAUUUUUCAAAAGUGCAUUUUCUUUUGAAAGAGAGUCUGCAUUUUCUUUCAAAGUAAUAAUACAUUUAUCUAAAUUUUCGAUCUUUUCUUUCCAAACAAUCUCAUGUUGCUUCAGUGUAGAAUUUUCCAUUUUUAGUUCAGAAAUCCUCUUGAGAGAAGUUUUGAGACUAAGACACAGUUCAUCAAUAUAUUUAGAGACUUUAGUAGGAAUUUUUAAAUUACUUACCUCAAUUUCACUGUCUGAGUCUAGGUCUGUCUCAGAAUCUGAAUCUGAUUCUGAUUGUGCCAUUAGACAAAUAUUAGCAUAAUCAUCAUCACUCUCUUUACAUUCAGUAUCACUCCAAGUUUCUGCUUUGAGAGCACUUCUGUAUUUCUCAGCUUUUCCUUUCUUUUUCUUCAGUAAGGGACAGUUGAGUAUGAUGUGUCCAUUUUUUCUUGCAUUCAAAACAAAUCACAUCUUUAUUGGAUUCAUCAUCCUCAGCUGAUUUAUUUUGAAACUUUUGAGAAUUAUGUUUCUUCCAAUUGAAUCUUCUUCUAUUUUUGUUCAGUUUUUUGAACCUUCUUAUCAUGAGAGCAAGCUCUUCAUCGUCCAUAUCGUCUUCAGAAUCUGUAACAUCAGAAUCAUCAUUAGAUUUUAAUGCAAUAGAUUUUUUACCUUUGGGAUCUUCAUCUUCCUUGAUUUGCUCCACUCCAUAAAACUAAAAAGUGCCAACCAAUUCGUCAACGGAGAGUGUCAUGAUCCUUUGUGUCUCCCUUAUUGAGGUCUUUACAUGAUUCCAAUCUUUGGAAAGUCCACGCAGUAAUUUGUUAACCUUCAUGGGUCCAGAAAUUGGUUGACCUUGAUACUCAAGACCAUUCACGAUUUAUGUAAAAUGACUAAACAUAUCAGUGAUAGAUUGUCCUAGUUUCAUUUUGAAUGAUUCAUAUUAACCAAGCAGAAUAUUGAUUCUGGUUUCUUUCACUCGAUCAGUUCCUUCAUAGGUGAUAUGCAAUCUAUCCUAGACUUCUUUAGCUGUUUCACAAGAAGAUAUUAUGUUAUAUUCAGUAUGAGAUAAUGCACAAUAUAAGGAAUAAAUUGUUUUUGCAUCAAGAGCUUGUCUCUUGAUUAUCUCUUCUUGAGUCAUCUCGCUAAACUCAAUAGCUUCUUUUCCCCUUUCUGAGAUUUUGUAGUUUUAGAAAUGAUUCCUUUGUCUACCACAUCCCAUUCAAGAGGGUCUUUCAAUCUUAGGAAUGUCUUCAUCUUGUUUUUUCAUAUACUGUAUUUCUUCCCAUCAAAGUAAAACGGUAUGGUAUUGCUUUGCCCUUCAACCAAACCUAGAGCCAACAUACUAACCAUAGAUCGUUAACUCUGAAAUAAAAACACUUCAAUUUAGAUGAGUACACAAACUAUGAUACCAAUUGUAAAUGUUAGUACGAGUACCUAAAGGGGGUGAAUAGGUGCGAAAACAAUUUUUUGUAGAGUAUAGUGUAAAAAUUUACUUUUAACCUGAGUCUGUUUGACAUAAGACUUUAAAAAGAAAAGAGACUUUAACAAUUAAAUAAAGUUACGAAUAAAGUAAAUGAGUUUAUGGAAGAGAAUAAGAAUACAAGGUUUAUAGUGGUUCGGUCUAAUCCAAGCCUACGUCCAUUCUCCCGCACUGACAGCCCACCGGCUAAAUUUUACUAUGAAUCAAAAGAGUCGUUACAGUUUCACGUCUUUAAUUCCACAGUAUAGAGACUCUGCUACACUUCCUCAAGGUUUCACAAAUGUAUAAACUCUUUUUUAGUACAAGUUUACGCUCAACAAAUGAAUUGGCAAAGAACAAUGAGCUUUAAACUUUGGAAUUUAUCUAUCACGCACACACUCGAAUAACUAGAGCGUUUUCCUUAUAUACUCCUCCAUGCCUUCAUAACCGUUGGUACUUUCCAAAGGAGUUCUUCCAAUCUACCCGUUGGACAGAAUCAAUUAGGGAGAUCUCGAGUUAUUUAAGGAACAUGACGAUAGCCCACCAAUCAUGCUCGCCCAUACAAUUAGAAUCUAGGUUUCCAUAAGUAGAACCUUCCAAGUAUGCUCCGCCAUUCAACGGAUCCAAAUUACCCGAAUUAAUUUCAAGAAUAAUAGAUUCUGAGAUGUUAUCUCUAGCCGAGAGAUCUUCUUUAAUCGAUCGAAUCAAAUCCUUAAAGAAAUACUUGAUUAUGGAUAAGAUUUCUUCGACGGUCUAGAAACUGUUAAUGAGGGCAGACUUUGAGUCUUGAGUCUGGCGGUCUUCAGACUUUAACGGUCUUUACGCAAGAGUCUACAAGUUUUCAGACUAGACUGAUGGAAACGUUUUGUCAGCUUCAAAACAAAUAAUGAAGUUUUCUCCAACACAUUCUUGGACCAACCAAACUCUGGCUUUUGGCAUUUUUAGACUCUAGCUUUUCAUAAAUGAAUUUGCAGGUUCUAAUGGGCUAUAUAAGAGAUAAAAUUGUGUAUGAUGAAGAAAUAAAUUUUCUUCAUCACUUUAAGGUACUUAAAUUCUCAUUUGAGUUAUAAUACACUCAAAGAUCGAUUCAAGUGAGGGUAAAAAUCUCACAUCCUCGAUUCGAAUCCCUAUUUACACCACAAGAGAUAGACUGAGCAACGGUACGUCAAUAACAAGGAUAGACCGUGAAUCCCAUCAUUGUUCACAAGCUGACUAGCUAAUUAGGGGCAAGACAACUUAGGAUUAGGGUUGUGAUAGAUCAGAGCAUUCAACCAUGAAAGGAUCAUUUGACCUCAAGGAUCAUUGUGAAUGAUCAUGUGCCGUCCUGAGUCAAUUGGUGGACUAAUAUAGAUCAAUUUAGCUCGAAUAUAUACCAAUGGCAUGUGACAUCACAUGGUCAAUAUACUGUUCAUGAAUGACCUUAAUCCGAUCCUAAAUGAUCAUGAGUCAAGAAAGGCCGAUCGAUCCUACUCGAUUACAUAACAACCGAGGAUCAUUCAUGAAUCGAUCGAGCUCAACUAAAAGCCACGCGUAAAACCCUGAACAAGCAUCAACUCAGUUCAAGUCUAGUUUCAAGAAUUCUACCAAUGCCACAUAAAUUUGAGUAGAUUGCAUUAAACCUGUUUCCGAUCGAAACUUAGUCACAAGCCCCGAUUCAAUUGCAGGUAUCGACUAUAGAAGUUAUCAAGGCAUUCCUUUCCAAUUAAAAUGAUUUUAUUGAACAUGUUUGUGCAUCAAUUAGAGAAAUGCGCUAAUUUGAUAAUAUAGACUUCAACGAACCUAGAGAUGAGACCAAUUCAGCUUAUUAAAAUUUAAAUUGAGAUGAGACAAAAUGUGUUAGGCCAUGGACAACAGAUAGGCACCACUUUAGGGGUAGACAAGGGGAAUAGACCAAAUUACCCUUCUUGAGUCUAUCCAAUAAUUGAAAUUUAAGAAGCCAUCCUAGCCCUUGAUCUUGGAUAAGGACUUAGGCAAGAUGGAUGACCAAGAUUUCAUCUUGCUUUCCAAGUUUGAUUGGCAUCGUGAGAGGAGGACAAUAAUUCAAGAGGCUUUAAUGCUUGAAAGGUAAUCUUUCUUUUUAAGUUUCUUCUUCUUCUUCACUCUCUCCCUCUCCCACCCCAUUUGGUCAACCCUCCUUCCCUUUCCUCUCUCUCUCUCUCUCUCUCUCUCUCUCUCUCUCUCUCUCUCUCUCUCUCUCUCCUUCCUUUUCCUCCCUUUCUUCCCCAUUGCCCGCUUGGCCGCUCGCCUUGCCGUCCACCACUACACGCUGUCGCCGCCGUUGUUCAUGCACCCGCCUAGACGCCAUCCACCACUCUACUGCUGCCGUCCGCCAUCCUCUGUCACUUGAUCAUUACUACCGUGAACCAAGCCACCACCCAACCGCCCCCGUCCUGUCUUAGUUGUUUGUAAGUAGAUUUCUUAAAUGUUAGCUAGGCCAUUGUGUUACGCAACUCAGAUUUAGGACUGCCUAUGAUGUUAUAAACUAUCAUAGGUUGAGGAACUCAUGUAAUUAAUUUUGUAUGAUUUGCUCAUGAUAUACUUAAGCUAUAUAGUUCGAGAUUGAGCGAGGAAUAAGUAUGUGAGAGUUGAGGUUGUUCAGGUUCACGUGAUGUCACGCCCCGAUCUUCAAGCACGUACCCAUCCCUCAAUGGUCAAUAAAUUUGUGACGUCUUAGGACGCGUCGCUGACCCAUUCAUUUUAAUACGCAUGCGAAAGCGAACAAAUACCCCUGACAGCACAAAGAUGGGAUAGAAAAGCAGAACCACAAUUGCACAACCACAACACACCUUUAUACACAACCGACUAGUUUAUUUACAAUACUAGUCUAUAGACAAAAGUCUACAAAAGACCGACUCUCAAAAAUGAAGCUGUCCUAAGACUAGCUAGCCAAACACAUUCGCCGAUCCUUCGGACUCCACAGGCUCCGGGGGUGUUGGGUCCUCCACCACACCAUCAGGAGGGUCAGCUGCACUCUCACCUAGAGUGGCAUCGACUACCACAGAGGGGAUUUCAAAACCCCUAAGGGGAUCCACCAUGAAUCCAUUGGGUCUGUAGCGAAACCACACUCUGAAUCGAUGAGGUACCCUCUGAGGUACGCCCUCUUCAACCCAAACGAUGGUCACCACAAGUUCAUAGAUCCAGUGACUUUCGGGAUCAUGGUAGUUGAAAACCUGCUCAGUAACCCUCAUGGGCUAGCCAAAACGUUUUGGAGGAAUUGUCAUCUAAGGACCUGAAAAGGUUGAGCCCACGACAAGGUGAGACAAUGUCUCAAUAAGUUCACCCCUUAAACUCCGACUAGGAAGGAAAUACGCCUAGAGGCAGCUAUACACACAAGUCAGAAGACUUACCUUGCCUUAGUUCCCUCCUGCACGUCAGUACAGUUCAUAAUCUCAACCAAUCAAUUCAAUCCAAACCAUCCAUCCAUCAAUCCAUUCAAUCAAUCGACUCAAUUCGAUUACUACUCACCCAAGCUAAGAUUUAUUAUUAUUGCUCACCAAAGCUGACGAUUAGAUAAUGCUCUCGCAAGCUGACGUACAAUUGAACCAGAAAUAUUGAUAUUCACACUUCUAAAAUCCCACGAUUCGAUCUAGUCCUCGAAACCAUUUUUGUGUCAAAACCCAACACUCGGGAUUUUCUAAUUAAAAUAACAAAAUUUCCAAAUUUUGGAAUAAAUAUUCAAAAUCAAUAUUUCCACUCAAUUGGCACAAUUUAGCAUUCAAUUGCAUAAACUAACCAUACCAUUGCAAUCAGCACGAAAUUCUAGUCACCAGCUAUCCAGGUAUAAUUUUUGGAAAAUAAUAAAUAAUUAAAUAAAUGCAAUAAAAUACCAAAAAUGCAAACUUAAGCUGGAAUUGCUUAAUUAAACACUUAAACGAGCCCGAAAAAAUUCCAAACCUAUCUAGAUAAAUAACACAAUCUAUCUAGUCCCUAAUUAAGCCAUUAUAUCCAUCUAACAUGCAUAAAUGAAUAAUUAAAUCACUAAUCUAAUUUAACUGACCACAUAAACCAUACUCAGCCUAAACUAAUCAGCCAUUAAGCAUAAUUAACUCCCUAAGCAAAGUUUAGUGAGUAAACUCACUGGUUUAGCGAUCCGGUAAGUCCAUGGCAACAGCGACGCAGAGACGAGCAACAAACCUCCUGGCGGCGACACCAAGCGAAGCCCAGAAGAGACCUAAAAUAGGCCUUGAAGACCUCGACCCACAGCUGGGCUUCGGCCUUUGCUCCUUGGACCAAGAGGCUACUCGAGUGACCAAGAGCGGCAAGGAGGGACAGCAACGGUGCAACUAGGCCAAGCAAGCGACGGCGGAGGUGACAAACAACUUAACGGCAAUAAACGGAGGCCAGGCGACUCGGACAAGGGCUCGGGAUGACGGCCAGGGUAGGGACGAUGGCGCACGGACACACGGGCAAGCAGAACGUUGAGCUGGGCUCGCGGGCGCAAACGAGCGGCGUGCGGUGGCUCCGAUUGCUUCGACGGGUGGUCGAUGGUUCAAGGGAGGGAACUGGCGGUUUCUCUGGUUUCUCUAAGCUCUCUCAAGCCUCAACAAUGGAGAAAUGAGGGGGGAAGAGGAAGAAGAAGGCUACUGAAGUAAGUGGGACCCCAAGUGGCCUUCAAGUCUCAACACUUGUCCAAUUCUCCCUUUGCUUGCCCCCACUAGCCAUCAGUCAUCCACUUCAGCCAUUAUCCACUCCAAUCUUCCUCAAAGAACCCAAAGGAUUCAAAAUGUUGUCUCCCCCAUGGUCUAGGAAUUUUGCAUAAUCGACAUCCAAUUUGCUUCAAUUCCUCUCCAAUUGGACCUAAAUUGGAGUCUAUAAAUCCAACCAAGAUGCCCACACGUGAAUUCCCAUUUUUCCUCACCCAUUUGUCCAACUUGAAUCUCAAAAACGCAACCAAAAACAGUCCUUUGAUUUUCCCGAUAAAAAACAGCUCUAUUUUGAAUUUUCACCAAAAAUCUCGGUUUGUAGAAAAAUCUUCGAAUGAUAAGUCGACGUUCCUAAAAUAAAGUGUGACUUGACAGAACUUUAUUCGCGGUUAAUUUCAAUUAGACACGAUUUUAGCAUGACUUAACCUACCGGGUAGCUUUUAUGAAUUUUUAGCGCAUCUGACCUGUGGUCGAUUAUUUUCGAACCACAUUGUACAUCUUCGACACAUGGGGGACUCUCGGUUGUUGUAAAAAUCUCGAGAUUUCAAAUAUGGACACAGGAUACAGAAAUGACAGAAAAAUCGAUCUAAUGCCGAUCGAUGAGAAUUUUGCAAUUAGGUGGAAUCACCCACACUUAAUCACAUGGCUCAAUCGAGUUGACCUAUCUCCGGUCUCUAAUCGAUUUUGACAAUGCCAUAAUGACCCUCGUAGAUUAGCACAGUCGAGCAACCAAUUCUUAAUCGAAUUCUCAAGUCUAUUGCGUUUAGAUUCCUUAAGGGCUUCACCUAAUAGACUAGUUAUCCCAUGAGUGACCAGUUCAAAGAAAAGAACUACAGGCACGUCGAUAAAAAGCCCAACUUAUUCAAUCAAAAACAGAACCCGAAAAUCAAAAUGUCACACGUGAGUUGUGGAAAUGAUUCAUUUAGGCUUAAAUUUGUUGUGAUUGUUGCUGUGAAUCGUUUGCUAUUGUUAUUUAUGCUUGAUCUUCAUAUAUGAAUGCUAUGGAUGGUUGUGUGAGUGUGUUAUGUAAUAUGAUCUUUGCAUAUAAAUUCUCGUAGGUCAUGGUCGAAGCCUGAGUUCAUAUUGAGCGGUCGAAUCUAGAACAGCGUUGGUUCUUGGACAUGCUUGGAAGUGCGACAAGCUAGGUCACUCUCUUGGUUUAGCGAUAUUGAGGCAUAUCAUUCGAUCCAAGUUUGACCUAGGCCGGUACUUGAGCAUCACGAGUCAAGCGACGAUUCCAAUUUCAUGAUCAACAUACUUUAUUGUCGCAUUUACGAUAGAUCAUGAGUUACACAUCACUUAGCACGCCCGUGGGGCAUUCAUACAUGGACUAAAGUAAAAGAUAAAAUCGAUUACUUGAAUGCUUGAUUCAUGUGGUCAUAUGAGGAAUAAUAUCACUGAGAUUUCGGGGGACGGUGCCUCCACGUCAAUGGGAUGUCGUUUGCGGAAUGUGUUAUAUCAAAACGACGCCUGAAAGGAUACCUGAUGGAUUUCGAAUACCGUGUUCGAUGGAGCAAAAUGAUAUCCCGGAGAUUUUUGGAAAAACUAUAGGGUUUUGGCUAUAUGUGAUUAAUAAUUAGCCUCAAGAUAGCAUGGUAGUAUGGAAUGCCAUGUGAUUCUCGAGUCACUAAACUUGUGCAAAGUAUUUGAGUGCUAUGUGCAUACUCUAGAAGUUAUUUUAUGGCUUGCGCAUGUUUGACAUGGACUUAUAUAAGAUGCAUGACAUGUGCAUGAUUUAAAUGUCAUUUUCAAUGAAUUAGAACGCGCGUGCAUGUUAUGGUCGUCAUUGUUCAUGAAGUGAGAGGCACGUGGAUGUCCUAAAAGUUGUUGUUUGAGUCUUGAAGGCUUUAAUAAUGCUGUGGAUGCUAAUACCCAUCAUGUGUGAAUAUUAUUGGCGAUAAUUUGCACUAUUUGUCACUGUGUGGAUUUGUAUGCCUUUGCCUAGGACUCAAGGGACUUAGGUUGAGGGUAGGUUCCAUCAUGUAUAUAGUUAAGGCAAAGCAUAGACUUUGCUAUUAAUCUACCAUCAACAUGUUUAGGUCGGGAAAUCGUAAGGCUCUGAUGCGAGAUAUCCGCUUAUACGAGAUUUAGGAUCUUUACUUAUUAAGUUUUCAACUCACUGUUGUUGUUUAACCUUUUUUCAGGUCAAUAGGUAUGGACCCCUUACUCACCGCUUCAUGCAUUCUGGAGUGCUUGUAAGCAUGAAGGUCACAGUGAUAGACGUGUUUAGGGAGGAUGUGGCUAAUUGACAGGUCACGACCACUGUCUGUGUUGACGAGGGGUACCGCAACCUUAUCCCACACGGCUGUCAAGCACGAUAUGUGUGGUUCAAUGGGGACCUCUUUGGACCCAUCUUUGGAUUCCGCGGCCCACCUGGACCAAGUGAGGACGCAACCCCACCAAACAUAUGCCUAGACAGCUGGUCCUACCAAGGAAGCCACUUCUGUUUUAAUCUCAUUAGAUCAUAUAGGCUUCCCCUUGCAGCUUUAAACCCCCACCCCCCUUUUUGAUUUUUUUUGUGAGGGGAUGACCAGUCAUAACGGCCCUAGAAAUGAGGGCUCAUAAAUUGUAAACAUUCUGAGUAGAUAAAAAAAGCUUGGAAGUUAUGCAAUGUGUGUGUGUCUUUCUCCCUGACUAUUGGGUGAUUGGAGAUUGCAUGCUUUGGCAUGGGCUUAAUGAAAAGAUAAAAUUAAUGGGAUGGUGAUGCCUCCUGGAACGUCACAAAUUAAUCCCAAAGAGAACGAGGGUAAGGUCUGGGAUAUGACAAAGAAAGUUCCAUCUAUUUUUCUCACCUUGUACUAUCACCCUUACCUCCAUUCUGCCCUAGUGUGGGGUGAUUCGCAAUAGGGUUAACUUGAAAGAAAUUCUUUCAACGUGUAACAUGGAAUGCCCCUUGUCAUUUCGGUCCACUUACCUUUUCAUGAGAAAACCCUUUACCUUGAAGACAUUAAAUUUUUCGCUCAUCUCUUGGUGUAUAAAGGACUAUAAGAUAGAGCUUGCCAUUCAUUAUCUUGACACGUCUCGGGUAGUAUUCUCAAAUAAUUCUACAUAAUUCAUUAGAUUGUCUGUUUUGACAAGUUCAUAAUAGAAUUUAUGAAAUAGGCAAUAUUAUCAUGCAAAGUAUCCCUUCGAAAAAUAUGAGCAUUUUAAGAGCUUGUCGACUUUACGCAUGAGAUAGCUUUUAAUUUCAGAGUAAGUAGGUUAUCAUGACAAAGAGUCUAUCACGAAAAUUUUGACGCAAGAGAUAUGACCUCAAACACUUAAAUUUUACCAAAGGGUCAAACAGGGGAGUUGGACCCUAGCACACCGAGAAGUACUCCUACAAGAGACAAAAGGAUGGCUCUAAUGCAGCAACGUCCCUGCUAAGAUAAAGUGUCAAACUUGAGAAUAUCGAACACGCUUAGAAAUGGUGUUCAUGGAUUGUCCCUAUUAUAAGGGGAAAGGACAAAUGAAUUGAAUAGUCGGUAUUGGAAGUCUGAUCUACGAUUUGAUAGAUGCCUUGGCUUUACUCUUGCCCCUAUACAAGCGAAUGUGCAUGAAUAGGAUAUUAUGUGAUGCAAAGGCAAAGGCAAAGGCAAAUGCAAGCUAAGACUUUGGAUAAUCCUACUAUCCAUCAAGGCACUAUCUUAAUCAGAUCAUUCAAUCUACGUUCGCUAUUGGGGUCUAACAUUCCCCUUAAUUCAUCAUCUGCGAAAAAGACUAACAAAAUGUCAUUUCCAAAAUUAAUUAUGUUCCAGACGAGGUGCACCUUUUUUCUCAAAAGAUCGGAUGUCUCUCUUUUGAGUUGCCCCUACUUUCUCAUCAGUGUGCAGGGUUGCAUCAAGCAUGAAGUUGAAAUGUGUGAAGCACUCCUUUUGGCUCUGCGGAGUUGGCAUCACGCCCAAAUAGAAGGUGAUCCUUUGCGUCACAUUAAUCGGAUCCAAAAUAUUCUCAGACAAUCUUGCAAAGAUCAUUUUAGUAUAGACAAGAAUCAUUGUCAGUUCAGCUCAAUUUUCUUAGAAACCAAGGCUAUAACGCAUGACUGUUAUGCAAAAACAAGAUCAAGUUACCACUUGAUUGGCAUAGAAUAUGGCUUAUGCACCUCACGUUUGUUUUUAAGCCACAACAGGCUUUAUUUGUAAUAUGCAAGAUGUUAUGCAUGUCAUUUCGAAAAUGCUUUUGCAAAAUUUUGGAAGGAACAAGAAGAAGCCCAACCUUCAAAAUUACCUUUUUGCCUCAUUUUUUAUUAGUAGGAUUUAAUCACGGGGUUAGUUUGAUAUAUUUCAACAUGUCCUCAAAAUAUGAAAACUUUAAUGAAUUGCAUUUUAUUGAAUGGAAAUCAACGAACUAGAUUAUUUGGAAAGGGAAAUCCUACAAAACAAUCAAAUCCUAAGAAGUAGAUCCUAAAAAGUAAGAAAUACUCCUAUACAGAGGAGUGUGCAAAAAAUUAAAAUGGUUCCUACUCUAAAGGGAUGAGAAGUUGAGCCUUCAAUUUUACUCAAUGAUCAGAUCGGUGCUUUCUUCACGAUUGGGUUGUGCAUUGCGGAAUGAGAACACCUUUGCUUCUAUCAAAUCUUGGACUUUGUAUUUCAGGAGGAGACAAUUAUCUGCGGAGUAUCCCAUUGACUUGGAAAAUGGAGCAGUAAGCAUAACAAGUAAAGGUCGGUCCACGACAAUGGUCGAACGCCUACCUUAUUAGUUGUGAAAGAUUGUUCAUUUAUGAAACAUUGAAAUUGCGAACUUUAAAACCAUAAGUUUAAAGUGUUAUUCAAAUGGUAUGGCGAUUGACUCAUGUCAUGGACCGACGCCAAAUUAGAAACACGACAAGCUAAGUAGCAUAGAGAAGAGUGUGUGAAACUUACCUGAGCAUCGAAAGAUGGCAACAUAUGACAAUGUGAGGUUUGACGCCUACAACUUAAAAGACUAGACAAAUGGGGCCAAGAGGGUGAGCAGACUAAUAGCAGUCUAGCGGACUAAGGUUGGGUCCUCCUAACUCCGGCUCAAUGAAAAGGUUGUCCUAUGACACUUUAGACAUCAAAAAGAAAUUUUGGAGUUGAAAAGGGUAACCUUUAGUCUUGCGGUCUUGCAAAUAAGUUGCAUCCCUCUCAACACCAGCCUCACUUUUCCUAAAUUGCGAUCCAGGUACUAUGGCAAGUUGUAUGUGCAAGAAUGUAGUGCUAAUGCAUUAAAAGCAUGCACAACAACUUAUGAUGCAAUCACCACUUCAAUAUUAAAUUAAAGCAAUCACUCUCAACACCGUUCUGCAAACAAAGAUUAGUAAAGACUACUCACCAAUUAAGAGAAUCAAUCUCUAAGAACGUCCGCCCCUCGCUCUCCCCCUCUUAGGGUUUCCUCUUUCCAAAGCCGCUAGCCCCCUUUUUUGAAGCUACAUUCUAGAGAGACAGAGAGAUCCCUCUCUUAGGAUUUCCUCUCCCUUCCUCCCUCCCCCUCUCUCUAUCUCCCUAUCUCUUUAUCUUCAAGACUUUUUCAAGACCUCUUCCCGUUCGUUGAUUUCGAGGACAACGCUAUGGACAUCCUCCCCAAAAGUGGUGAGGUUUGUCGCCGUGGCCUCUGAAGAUCGAAGCAGGAGCGCCUCAGAAGAAUUUGCUCCCUCCGAAUUUGCUCGCUUACUUACUCUAGGUGUUUGCUCCAUACAGUCGAGCGCCCUACAAAUCUCCGAAGCUUAUCUACUGCGUUCAAUGGUUGGCUUAUCUGAAAGUGAUUUGCGGUCAACUAGUAUCUAUUUUGCAACUUCUCUCCUAAUUUAGAAUUAAAUCAAGAUUUAGGUGUUCUUCUAUCCCGAUUUAACUAUAGAUCUGGGAUUUACAAGGUAUUAUUAGUGCUCUUAAACCUAUUGGUGUUGUUGUCGUCUCUAAAUGGUAAUGGUGCCAAGGACGUCCACCACCUUUUGGCCGUUGUCCUUUGAAGUUAUGACAGAUCCAUUCUUGUGGAAUGAGCAAGUUUCUGCAAGCUAUACUAAGCUGUUUCAUUUUUCGGAUUUGCACUAUAGUGUAACUUUUGGUUGGUUUUGUCUUGAAAUUAUGUAUCUCUAUUAUGCGAAAUAAAAAAAAUUUCCUUCUAACAAAAAAAAAAAAAGACUACCUCCUUAUAACUCUUAUCUAUAAUACCAUUUAACACAAUAAUUAGUGGUCUACAUGCUGCCACACAAAAAUAUUUUUGAAAAGAGAAAGUUCAUGGCCUAGGUCCACUAUAAAUUUUAACUCAAAUCCCUAGUAAAGUGCCAAGCUAUUGUGACCUUCCCAAAGUUAAACUACUAAGGGAAAGCUAAUGAGUUACUAAGCCAACACUUAAUGCAAGCUCUCCCAAGCUCAUACAAUCGUAACGUUGAGAUUUUAAUUUAAUCAAAUAAAAACGCCAUUCAAUUCUACUAGGAGUCGUCAUGAAUUAUUAUGAGUCAAUUAGAAACUCAAGUAAAAUGUGGGAGAACAUUUUAUUUCUUUGAACUAGAGAUUUCGUGAAUAAGGAUCACGCUAGAUAUAUAUAACGCCAUUUUGAUAUUUUUAUUUUAUAUGAAAAUUAUUUUACAAGCUAUCUAAGUCAAUUUUAGGGCUAAACUACUAACAUGUGAGAGAUAAUCACACGAGUGCACAAAGUGAGAAUACAACACUCAAUGAUCUAAGCGAUGAAUAAAUUACUUGACGAGACAGAAAAACCCUGAUGUGUUAUGCAAAUAUUCCAAUAAAUGUUCUCCAAGAUUUUAACUAAAUACAAAGCAACAAUGUGAUGUAUGCAUAACUUAGACAUGAUUUCUAAAUAUGAUUAUGCAAUGAUAAUCAAUUCAUAUAGGGCUUUUCUUGUUUAACAAAAACAUGAAUUAAUUAAAUGCUAUGACUAUUAUACUCUAGCGUGCAUUGAUGAACUUACAAGAAACAUUAAAUGACAUAUACGCUAUUUUAAUUAAAUUGAAUCCAACCUAUAUGUGGUUCUAACGACAAGGAAUAUGAUCAAUUAUAAAUUAACCUUAUUAUUUAACCUACUUGUGAGAUUAUUUUUUGUGUCUCCUUUUUAAUAAAUAAGAGACUAUAUGCAAUGCAUGAAAGACAAUGAUUAAUCCGUAUGACAUGACCUACACAUGUGAUUGGUAAAUGAUGUGGAUAUCAUGAAACUAAUUAAAUUUAUAUACUAAUGACGAGCAAAAGAAAUAUGAAUUAAUCUAAGAUGGCAUGCAAUAUAUGAUAUGAGUAUUAUAAAACAAAUAGCAUGCAUGUGAUAUUUUGAUAUUUUCUUUUUGAAAGUUAAAAUAGGAAAAUACUUAAAUGCCUGAUGACCUAACUUAAAUAAGAAAAUAUUUUAUAUUAAGUUCUAAUGAAAUUAGUUAAUUUCCUAAUUACUACAUAGUUCCUACGCUAUGCAACGCUAAAUUACGGAACUAAAUGAAUGCAAUUUAUCCUAAAUGCAAUGCAAGGCAAUCUUUUUUGUCUUUUCAUAAUAUGAUUGUUUCCUAAAUUAAUGGCAUGCAAUAUAUAAGCCCACAUAAUCAAAUAUUUGCUACAUCCAAAUAUGAAAUAAAGGUAAUUUGGGAAUCCAAUCUUAGGUCUUAAAAUGAAUUCAUUUUAACCACAUCAACAUCUUCACUUAGCCAGAUUGAACAGAGUGAAUAGAAAAACUUGAUUAUACCAAUUUAACAAAUUUUAUGAUUUAAUUAUAUUUUUAUUGUAAGUUUUAAGACUUCCAAUGUACUUAUUCCUUUUUUUUAAAACAACAAAGCUCACAAGCUUGUUUGCUGACAAGCUUGUUUGAUACAUCCUUUCAACAUUAAAAUAAUGCAACUAUUAGAAAAAAGUGCUAUGAGUCAUACUAUGUGUUUGGCCAACUGUUCACAUAUGCGUUAUCCUCACGAUUGCAGCCGCUUAUGAUAGCUUUGAGAGGCUAUCUCGCUUGGUUUUGAAAUGCUGCAACUUUAGAACAUGCACUACAUGCACAGAUUCAUCGCACUUCACAUCACGCUUGUACUAUAUUUAAAAAGAGCUGUAGAAAAUAAAUAUUUAAUACCUUGACCAAGACUUAGCUUUUGGUUGAUUGACAAACACAAAUUUCGGAUAUGUAAUUUAUUUAUUUUUCCGUUCAUUUCUUCCAUCAACUUGUCACUUGAAAUUUCAUCGCCUGUAUCCAUCUUUUUGAAGAACUCCCUCCAUCUUUUUGAAGAACUCCCUUUUCUUAACAUCUACCAUAAAAAAUAAGAAUAAUAUCACCAAAAACCACAAACAGUAUCAAUAAUUAAUUUAUCCUAAGCUAAUUUUUGACAAUCAAAAAUUCCAAAUUGAUACUUGUGUAAUAAAUUCAUCAAACUAAUACAUUUGUAAUUAGAUUAAUGGCAUAAAAAAUCACAAAAUGGUACACAUGUAACAUGUGAAUUGUAAAACCCCAAAUUCGUAUACCCGUCAACUGCCACGUGUCAUCCAAUUCAGUAAUCUGAUGAUAAAGUUUAAUAAAAAUUAACAGAGGGUAAAUUUGUCACGAGUAUACCAAUUUGAUUUUUUUUUUGUCACUAAUGCACUAGAUUUGGGUUUUUGUGGCAUUAAUCUUAAAAAACAAUGGUAUAAGUGCACUGAAACUCUAAAUCUUAUCGCGAAAGUGCAAUUAAGUUAUAAAAAUUUCAAAAAAUAUAAUUAUGUCGUAAAACUUGUCACGAAAGUAUAAUUAAGUCUUGCAACUUUUAAAAAGCAAUUGAUGUAAGGACUUGAUUGAACCAAUUUGACAAAUUUUAGGAUUUAAUUACUUUUUUUGAAAGUUUUAGAACUUAAUUAUACUUUCAUGAUAAGUUUUAUGAUUUAAUUUCAUCUUCAUGACAAGUUCUAGGAAUUCUAAUACACUUAUCACUUUAAUAAUAAAUGGAUGUAGAUACGAAAUGCUUUUAUUUGUUGACAAAUUAAAAAAAAAAAAAAAAAAACCCCUUAACAUUCAUAUGACACUUUUGUACCAUAACAUUUUAAUCGACAUCAUAACUUUUAGAAAAUGUUCACUUUUGUGCCAUAACUUUUCAAUUAAUCACCUAAAUGUUUGAAAAUUUCUUAGGAUGUUAAAACUUAUGGCUUUUGUGGUGGACAACUUUUAAAAGUUAUGGCAUUAGGUUAUCGAUUGAAAUUGUUAUGGCACCAGAGUUAGCAUUAUAUGAAAGUUAUGGCAUGUGUGGUGUCCUCAUCCCAUCAUUUCAUCACUCAUCUCCUUCUUGCACUGAGGAAGAAUUACAAAUUACAAAUUACAAAUUACAAAUGGGCAAAUUGUCUGGUCAAUUCUGAUCAUAUUGUAUGAAUGUCAAUUCAAUUAUAAACUUCAAUUCAGUGUUCAACAUUUGCAUGAAAUUUCAAUAUAAACAUCAUCACCAAGUUUCACUAAAAACCGCUAACGUGGCAAUGCGCAAUGUAAGAUAGCCGGCAACAACUAGACCACUAUGUUGGCAAAUUUCAACAAAAAUUGAUUAGAGUGAUCAUAUCGAAAUUUUGCGCAAAGUUUUAGAAUUAAAUCGAUAAAAUUAAAAGUUAAUUUACAUUAUUAGGACUGAUUGGGCAAUUUUCCCAUAAUGUCAUUCUACGCAUUCUAAUUAAAAAAACACGUUAAAAGGACACUUGUUAAGCAGCAGUAAGUGUGAUUAGAAGUGCAAAUCUAUGGAAUACAGAGUAGGUUGUUUUCAUGUAAUAUCCGCGAUGUCAAUUCUUUAAGUCUCUAGACAAAUCGUGUUUCUUCCUAUUUUCCCCUUAAUUAGUGUUGUGAAAUUAGUUUCACAUAAGUCAUUUUAGUUAAAUUAUAUAGUGUAAUUUCUACGGGAGUCUUAUUGUAGCCACACAUCAAGAGUAACCACUUAAAACACUUAAUAUCGAUGAUUAAAUAAGAUUAGUUAAAAGUAAUUAAGCAGAAAGGGGAGACCUGACUAAAAGCACUCUUUAAUUCGUAUUUUUCAUAGAGAAAUCUCUGAUCAACUUAUCUUUUCUUGAACAAUAACACGUUUACAAAAGAUGCACAAAAUUACACUAAAAACUACAGAUGAAACACAAACCGAUUCGCUUCCUAUAACAUUACUGACCAAAUCUAGCGUAACUUCCUACAAGUUUGCCUGCUUUGAUGAACACAAGAAAGAAACAUUCCAGUGGGAAGGAAAUAUACUGAUAUUUACAUCAAGCAAAUGAGCCCGCCCUUCAAACACGAGACAGAGCAUCCUCGAUGCGGUCAUCUUCCACCUUCUCCGAGCACAAGCUGGGAGGGACGUAAGCUCGGAAGAUGCGCUCCAUGUCCAGCGUCUCCUUCAGCUCGUGCGAGGCAACUUCCAGCGCUGGGCAGCAGAAGGAGCGAUAGAACUUCUUGUUACACACGUAGGCAAAGAUAAGGCUCGAGAUGACCAGCGGUAGCAGGAGAGGCGCAUAGUAGAAUUUCUUUGUCCCAAAGUAGGCAAGCAUAGUGAGCUGGUAAAGGACAAGAGAAGCUAGGAUUCGCAAAUGGAUGUGCGGCCACAUUCUUCCGUAACUCUCAUAGGAUGGAACAUAAACCUUAAGUGCCUGUCGACCAAAACGAUCAUAUGAAAGUUAAGGAAUGCUCUAGAAGAGGCAAAGAUGUGCAAAGUCUUUGACUUGAAACUAAAGUACGAUGUCGAGUUAGCCACUCAACCUGAUUUCGAAGAAUAAGCCAUCCUAAGCCGAAGUAUACAACACCAAAUGGGAUGAUCAGAGGAGCAAUGACAGAAUAGCAGAGGGUAAUCGUGACGAUCAGCAAGUCUCCGGGAACUCUGGUCGCGUAUCCUUGAUCUCCAGGAUACCAUGCUUCUUUGACUUCAGCUUCAGUCUUGCAAAGGUAUUUCCUCUUCAAGUGAAAAAUAAUCAGAGGAACGAUCCGAGAAAGCUCGAGACCGUAGCCAAUGAAGGACCUGAUGGCCAUUUCCCCAAAUUCAGACAUUAGCAUCAUCACUCUACCAAGAAAGCAGAGGAAAAAGUCCAUGCAAGAACUAUGAAGUGAAACGUAACCAUACUAUUGAUUUCAUGAUGGCCAUAGGAAACUGGAAUUCAUUUUAAGGAACAUAGAAACUACAAAUUAUGAGAAUAACAAACUGACCUAAUGCACACAUAAGCAAAUCCAACUCAAUUUUUUUUCUUUAUGUUCCCUUUCGCAUCAAAUUAAGAAUAUCAGAAUCUGUCACUCAGCAAGUUAGAAGUUAAUAGAAGACUGAGGAGGAACAAAAACAUCUUACCUCAAAGCAACAAAAGUGAGGAAAAAUGUUGCAUUAUCAGGUAGACUGGCCGCCAGUAUUGUGAGGAGAGAGUUGGGAUCUUUCUCAAUCUUCUUGAAUGUAGCAAACAAGGUUCCACCCACAGUAACGCCAAUAAACACAUUCAAACUUGUGAAGUAGAAGUAUUUUCCAGAGGCAGCACGUUCUAUAUGGCUCUGGGAAGGAAUCCCCUCUAGCUUGGACAGAAACAACAGCAACUUGGGCAACAAAGCCAGAAACACGAGGAGCACAAUCUGAGGGAGAUAAGCUUCCAACAAAGUUCUGAUCGUUGCAAUAUCCACAAUCGACUUCAAAAACGGGAGAUAUUUCUUCAGAUUUUCCAGAGUCGUAAAGGCAGAAACAAACGUGAUCGGAAUCAUGUAGAAGAAAAUGGUCAGAGCCACUAUAAUGUAGAUGACGUACUGCCGUAUCUGUCGCUGAAAAAACUUAAUCGCAAGAUUAGUCCAUAUGAUUUGACGAGGUUCAGGUGCAUCCAUCACAAUCCAUUUGUCAGGCAUUGUGGCAUGCAGGCUCUGUGCUGCAGAGGCUGCGGUCACCCUGUUAGUAAAGAAGACCAGAGCCGCUGCUUGCUGCUUAUCUCUCAAGGUGGCUAUCUGCUCAGCUUCAAGCUUUGGAGUCAGUUCACUGAUCUUCUCACUGUAGUAUUCUAUACUGUCCACCUUUUCCCCAAUAAGACCUAGGAAGCCGGUUUUGUUUGUGGGUCUUACUCCUUCCGGUUUGCCGGUUGUCUUUG